CUAGACUCACUGUGGAGGAAAGGAGAGAAUUCUCAGCCUGAAGAGCAGCCAAAUUGGAGCGUCGGAGAGACACUGGAUCUACCUUCUUGUGCUGGAGUUGCCCACUCGUCUUCACAGGCCGAAAAAGAACCAGGGGUUUCAUAGCUGCCCAGGCUGAAUGGAGCGGCACAAUCACAGCUUACUGCAACCUUGACCUUCUGGCCUCAAGUGAUCCUCCCACCUGAGCCUCCUGAAUAGCUAGGACUGCAGCGUGGAACGACCUUCCCUGACCUCAUUUUCAUGUCGGAGCGAGCACACCCGGAGCCGGCUACGCACAUUCCGGAGGAGACGCACGCUGACAAGCACUCACAUAUACACACACACACACACACACACACACGCACACGAGACGCGGACUGCAGGGCUCUGCCCAUCCGUGAGUUCACACCAGCCCCGCCACUAUUGUGGGCACUGCCGGGGCUGUGGCCGCUCAAAGAAUAGAUCCUCAUUAGCAUCUUGCUUUGAAUAUCAUUUGCAUUUUAUUCAUUUCAUGUCAAAACGCUCAGCACUCUCCCCAGCCCGCACCUUCCCCAGAGCUUGGGAGUCAUGAGCUUCCAGCUCAAACCCCUUCUCUGAAGGCCCCACGCUUGCUGGCUGCCCCCGCCCCACCCACCCUGCGUCACAGCCCCCACA
Callithrix jacchus (white-tufted-ear marmoset) is the source of this 672-nucleotide long non-coding RNA. RefSeq lists it as uncharacterized. The record is from RefSeq and is a predicted model, not a curated record. NCBI's taxonomy places the organism in Eukaryota, Metazoa, Chordata, Mammalia, Primates, Cebidae.